CCUGGCUCAGAACGAACGCUGGCGGCAUGCCUAACACAUGCAAGUCGAACGAGACCUUCGGGUCUAGUGGCGCACGGGUGCGUAACGCGUGGGAAUCUGCCCUUUGCUUCGGAAUAACAGUUAGAAAUGACUGCUAAUACCGGAUGGAUGUUCGCAAGACCAAAGAUUUAUCGGCAAAAGGGAUGAGCCCCCGUAAGGAUUAGGUUAGUUGGUGGGGGUAAAAGGCCUUCCAAAGCCGACCGAUCCUUUAGCUGGUCUUGAGAGGAUGAUUCAAGCCACACCUGGGACUGAGACACCGGCCCCAGACUCCUACCGGGAAGGCAGCAGUGGGGGAAUAUUGGACAAAUGGGCGAAAAGCCUUGAUUCCAGCAAUGCCCGCGUGAGUGAUGAAGGCCUUAAGGGUUGUAAAGCUCUUUAUCCAGGGGAUGAUAAUGACCAGUACCUGGAGAAUAAAGCUCCCGGCUAACUCCGUGCCAGCAGCCGCGGUAAUACGGAGGGAGCUAGCGUUGUUCGGAAUUACUGGGCGUAAAGCGCACGUAGGCGGUACAUCAAGUCAGGGGUGAAAGCCCGGAGCUCAACUCCCGGAACUGCCCUUGAAACUAGUGUACUAGAAUCUUGGAGAGGCGGGUGGAAAUUCCGAGUGUAGAGGUGAAAUUCGUAGAUAUUCGGAAGAACCACCAGUGGCGAAGGCGGCCCGCUGGACAAGUAUUGACGCUGAGGUGCGAAAGCAUGGGGAGCAAACAGGAUUAGAUACCCUGGUAGUCCACGCCGUAAACGAUGAUAACUAGCUGUCCGGGCACAUGGUGCUUGGGUGGCGCAGCUAACGCAUUAAGUUAUCCGCCUGGGGAGUACGGUCGCAAGAUUAAAACUCAAAGGAAUUGACGGGGGCCUGCACAAGCGGUGGAGCAUGUGGUUUAAUUCGAAGCAACGCGCAGAACCUUACCAGCGUUUGACAUCCUCAUCGCGAUCCAGAGAUGCUUCAGUCGCUGAUGAGACAGCC
RNAcentral lists this ribosomal RNA (1000 nucleotides) under Sphingomonas sp. HM1. RNAcentral describes it as "bacterial SSU rRNA". It matches the Rfam family "Bacterial small subunit ribosomal RNA", at positions 18 to 1039 of the family's 1533-position model. Lineage: Bacteria; Pseudomonadati; Pseudomonadota; Alphaproteobacteria; Sphingomonadales; Sphingomonadaceae. The record is from RNAcentral.